RNAcentral lists this long non-coding RNA (471 nucleotides) under Ananas comosus (pineapple). Its description in RNAcentral is "long non-coding RNA (ACOM_LNC030381)". The record is from RNAcentral. Lineage: Eukaryota; Viridiplantae; Streptophyta; Magnoliopsida; Poales; Bromeliaceae.
AGGUGGAUGAGGCGACAAAGAUGGCGAAGAAGAUGUGGAACAGGUUCUACAAUGUCAAGAUCCGCAGCAACGCUAGGGCGGUAGAGGAGAAAAAGAAGGGAGACGAAGGGAGCGGGCGGUCGAGAGAGGGAGGAGGGGGGGACGAACGAGAAAGAAAAGAGAGCAAAAGAGGAAUAAUGGAAAUUUAGUCAGUUUAGUAAAAAGUUAGACCAGAUCUACAAAAUCUAAAAAAAUGGCCUACUUUUAUAAAAAUGCAAAAAUAUUAAAUUUUUUUAUUCACAAAGACUUUUUAUUUGAUACGGAUCAAGGCCGAAGUUUGGAAAAACUAACCAAAAUACCUCUAUUUUCUCUCUCAUUUCUCUCAUUUCUUCUUUUAAUCUUCUUGUAUUAAUUUUUAUCUUUAUUAGCCUCUCAUUUUUCUCUAUUUUUCCUUGUUUUUCUCCUCUCGCAUUAAUUGCUCUCUUUAUUGAA